Molecule: long non-coding RNA, 439 nt
Filed under: Brassica napus (rape)
Lineage: Eukaryota; Viridiplantae; Streptophyta; Magnoliopsida; Brassicales; Brassicaceae
Description: long non-coding RNA (BNAP_LNC006712)
Source: RNAcentral
AUAAAUAGAGGAAAAUAUAGAGAUCUCUAUUAUAAAGAAAAACAUAUAUGUGGGUUGGAGAAAUUUCACUUCUAAAUGCUAUUAUAUAGGUGAAAAUACCAAUGUGUUGGAGAUGCUCUUAUAGGUAGAUUGGUAAUAUCCAUGUUUUUUGUAUUAUGAACCUAUUGACUAUUAAUAAAAGAUUAAAGCGAUUAUGUCAAAUUAAUAUGUUCGAUUUGUUUUCUAAAUCUAAAUAUCAAUCAAUACAAAUAAAUAAAAUUAUCUUAUAUCUAGAUAAAUAUGUGUUUAGUAAAAACAAUUUUAAUAAGUAACGUGCAAAUAAAAAAACAUUUUUUCAACAAUGUGUAAGCAUCAAAAAAUCACAAAAUGAUGGAGAUCGAAUAAUCUAGAAAUCUAUGAAAAUAUAUUGAAAAUAAUUUUAGUAAUCUAUAAAAAUAUC